UGAGGAUGUUAAUGAGAGCCCACAAGUUCUUGUCUUGAGAGCUUCGCACCAUGUGUCGGACUUCAUGCGGGUAAAAAUAUCAAAGGAUUGUUGGGUGUUAGAAAAAUCUUGGGUCCCACUUCAGCAGUUUCUAUGUCCCAUAUGUUUCAUUGCACUAGAGAAUCCCCACCCCCUAAUUUGCUUGAAAUCAAUUUUGAUGGCAAUGUGAAGAAUAGAGG
This 218-nucleotide long non-coding RNA is filed under the name Phoenix dactylifera (date palm). Its description in RNAcentral is "long non-coding RNA (PDAC_LNC001919)". Lineage: Eukaryota; Viridiplantae; Streptophyta; Magnoliopsida; Arecales; Arecaceae. The record is from RNAcentral.